GCUCGCAUAGCUCAGUUGGUCAGAGCGUGGUGCUAAUAUCUGCAACGCCAAGGUCACAGAUUUGAUCCCUGUAGUGAGCA
Molecule: transfer RNA, 80 nt
Filed under: Blyttiomyces helicus
Lineage: Eukaryota; Fungi; Chytridiomycota; Chytridiomycetes
Rfam family: tRNA
About the family: Transfer RNA (tRNA) molecules are approximately 80 nucleotides in length. Their secondary structure includes four short double-helical elements and three loops (D, anti-codon, and T loops).
Source: Rfam by way of RNAcentral